GACCCACUGACCGGAAGUUACCACCCUCUUCUAGGAAUUUCUGCAUACGUGCCCUUUAAUUUGCCUAUAAUUAAAAGCAGGUACAAGAGUGACUGCAGCUGUGUUUCUGAGCGGCUGUUCUGGGCACACUGCCUGCGGGGCAGCCCUGCUACCUGAGGAGCAGUAUCUCUGCUGCUGCUGCUGUGCAUGGCCGCUUGACGAGACGUUGGCAUAACCCUGAAGGGGUUAGGUAACUCUAGCUCACCCUUAAAUUUUGUCUUAUUUUAUUUACUUGUUUAUUACUUAUUUUUUGUUUUGAGACGGAGUUUUGCUCUGUUUCCCAGGCUGAAGUGCAAUGGCGGUAUCUCGGCUCACUGCAAUUUCCGCUUCCGGGGUUCAAGCGAUUCUUCUGCUUCAGCUCCUAAGUAGCUGGGAUUACAGGCAUCCGCCACCACGCCCUGCUAAUUUUUGUUGUUUUUAGUAGAGAGGGGGUUUUACCGUGUUGACAAGGCUGGUCUUGGACUCCUGACCUCAAGUGAUCCACCCACCUCAGCCUCCCACAGUGCUGGGAUGACAGGUGUGAGCCACCCCGCCCAAAUUCUUUCUUAGGCAAAGCCAAGAACUCUCCUGGGCUAUGCCCCAAUCUGGGAGUUCACCUUCCCCGCAUCAUCUAGCGACCAAGGAAAGGAUGAUGAAGACAGCGAGAGGCAGAGAGACUUUCAGCUGAGGCAGGGACAAUUAGCAGAGAGGCGAGAUGGCUGGACAGCAAAGAUGGUGACAGUCAGCGAUCCGCGGAGGGGUGGCAAUGGGUGAGAGACACGGAGAGGUGGCACUGGGCAAGACAGCGAGAGGUUGCUGAGACAGGUGGAGAGACAGCGAGGACAGGGCAGUCUGUGAUCAGGGCUCCAAGAGCGGUCACACUGAGGCCAUAACGAUAAACAGCUGCUAAAGCUGCAGAGCUGUCAUACUAAGCAGAGGCUUUACUCUUGGCGCUUUCAUCUUUCCCUGGCUGGUGGUGGAGCUCAGCGAGGGACAAGCAGAAGUAGCGGCCGCCAUCAUCACAGUCUGUGCGUCUGUGCAAAAGGGGCAUCUUAUCCCAGAGAUAAAGUUUUGGGACACCAUGAGGUCAUCUCCUUGCUGACAGCCCAGAACGACUGUGCGCCCCAACCCCGACAGCCCAGGGGUGGAGUAAGAGGGAGGCUCGUGGAGAACCUGGUAACCCCUUCUCCCUCCAUCACUGACUGAGGC
This 1227-nucleotide long non-coding RNA is filed under the name Piliocolobus tephrosceles (Ugandan red Colobus). RNAcentral's name for it is "lncRNA (ENSPTEG00000039545.1)". The record is from RNAcentral. Lineage: Eukaryota; Metazoa; Chordata; Mammalia; Primates; Cercopithecidae.